RNAcentral lists this ribosomal RNA (253 nucleotides) under uncultured bacterium. RNAcentral describes it as "partial 16S ribosomal RNA". It matches the Rfam family "Bacterial small subunit ribosomal RNA", at positions 524 to 776 of the family's 1533-position model. The record is from RNAcentral.
UACGAAGGGGGCUAGCGUUGCUCGGAAUCACUGGGCGUAAAGGGUGCGUAGGCGGCUUUGUAAGUUAGAGGUGAAAGCCCGGGGCUCAACUCCGGAAUUGCCUUUAAGACUGCAUCGCUAGAAUUGUGGAGAGGUAAGUGGAAUUCCGAGUGUAGAGGUGAAAUUCGUAGAUAUUCGGAAGAACAUCAGUGGCGAAGGCGACUUACUGGACACAUAUUGACGCUGAGGUGCGAAAGCGUGGGGAGCAAACAGG